This is a long non-coding RNA of Athalia rosae (coleseed sawfly), 543 nucleotides long. RefSeq lists it as uncharacterized. Lineage: Eukaryota; Metazoa; Arthropoda; Insecta; Hymenoptera; Athaliidae. The transcript has 2 exons. The record is from RefSeq and is a predicted model, not a curated record.
UAAUUUCAUCAAUUGCGCAAUUAAUGGUAAUUAUUAGUGAGCAUGAUGAUUGUCGGAGAGAUGGGGUCAAUUGCCUUCGUCUUCGUGUAUAGAACUGCGGGUGCAUAGGUCCAAUCCCGAGAAUCACACUACGAAAAACCGUUCAAUAUAUCUAUGUCAGUAGAAUACAUACAUAAUAAAUAUCUGAUACGAAUCCCCGACUUUUACGUAACCGCGGGGAAGUCGCAUAUGUAAUCAAAAGUUCCGAGACCGGCUUCACAUCUUUCGUUCCACGCAUCUCGAUAGUAUCGGACCGCCGUAAUAAUGGCCACCACAGCUGAAGCUCGACUCUUGUUUGGCGGGGUUCCACGAGUAUCGAGGAAUCCGUCACAAUUUUCAUCCCUCAAGUUUUACUCGAACUUACCGGAGUACUUGCAAUUGGAUUGCCCCCUUGGGCGCAUGAAGCUGUCACUUUCCAUUUGACGGUCUCGCUCCAUCAUUUCUGGUAAUGUUUUUCAUCGCGUGAGAAAUCAUGUAACAUAUGUGAAAUUAUUGUUUGACUCA